UGUCGCGACGUGGGGGCGUGGCCUCACGGAUAAACGCGCAGGUGCCCGCAAUCAGCUGAUGACAAAGUGCAUAUCAGGUGUGCACGCGCAGCUCCUUCUCAUCACGCUGCUCCUCAGACACCACGUUGGUUCGGUGCCUUCAGAACGUCUUCAGAAUCAGAGCAUCCUUCAGCCACAGAAGCAAAGACGAGCCACAAACACGAACCUUAGCAGCGUUUACACUUCACUUCCGUCAGCAAACGUUUCUGGCAAAGGGAAGCUUUUGGUUUUUAAAAGUCGCGCGUGGCGCAAAUGCGGUGUGUGACGUCAGGCGCACCGAAGUCUCCAUUAGCAUACUGUAACACUCUCAAGUGUUUUAACUGUUAGCACGGAUUUAAACGGUGAAGACGGCGUAUCGACCUGGUCCAGAAUCAAGAUUUAACCAGAAAGACAUCGGAGAUGUGGUCGAGCUCAUCCGGACUCAACAAAGACCUGAGACUUAUCUGAGAACAGAUCGAUCGUUUUGAAGCGUCAAACAGUAAGGUCAAAGUUUUUUAUCCUGGGUGGCUGCCGUGCCCUCACUUUCGUCUUUCCUCACCGCGCUUUCCUGGGCCGCCGUGCCGUCACUUCCAGCUUUCCUGGGCCGCCGUGCCCUCACGUCGCGCUUUCCUUGGCCGCCGUGCCCCUACUGCCUUUUCAUUUCAGGUGUGUCUACAUAAGGUAAGAGUCACUUUUAUAUUUUUUCUGAAUGGCCGCCGUGUCAUUGAUUACAUUUUUAUUUUUGGAGUGUCUUUCAUCAAAUCAACAGGGGUUUAAACUAAAAACAGAGCAAAGGGUAAAACAAAACUACAACUUUUAAAACUUCAAAUGCACCAAACAAACCAAACCUCAGUCUGCUCCUACACUCACCUCGGCAGUCUAUAAAACUAUACUUUUACAAAACCCGGGUCAAAUCUGUGGUCAUGUCAACAUGAGUUCAGCAUUUCUUUAUUUCCUGGUGUAUUACUAAACAAAGGGUCAUGGUGGAUCUUCAUAAACAGUUUUUUGGGUUAUGGUUUUACAUUUCUAUUUCAGCUCCUCCAACCAAGAUAAACAUUUUGUCCAACACAGCUGUCUAAUUUUAAAAGGAUUGCAUUAAUUUUCACGUCGGCAUUUUUUCCCGUGUCGGUCUCAACUUGCGUACAUCCGUCGGUCUAAAAUCCAAACUCUAGGCAUUUUAUUUUCCCUCUUUAUCUCUGAUGGUUCUCUUGUGUGAAUGCAUUUCUUGUCUUGGUCCAAUAAAGUGCAAUUUGAUUUCAAAGAGGCUUUAUUGGAGCAAACAGAAAUUGUUAUAAUAUUAAGCAGCACCUAACAUGAAAGCUGGCAGUUGAGUAAUAAAUCCACAAAUCUAUAGCAAGUUAAUUGAUUUCAAUUCACAAAUAUGUAUAGGACGUAAAUUAAGUUCAACGGUCUAUUUGUGAAUUCAGUGUAUU
Long non-coding RNA from Solea solea (common sole), 1451 nucleotides. RefSeq lists it as uncharacterized. The transcript has 3 exons. NCBI's taxonomy places the organism in Eukaryota, Metazoa, Chordata, Actinopteri, Pleuronectiformes, Soleidae. The record is from RefSeq and is a predicted model, not a curated record.